Molecule: ribosomal RNA, 234 nt
Filed under: Achromobacter aegrifaciens
Lineage: Bacteria; Pseudomonadati; Pseudomonadota; Betaproteobacteria; Burkholderiales; Alcaligenaceae
Description: partial 23S ribosomal RNA
Rfam family: Bacterial large subunit ribosomal RNA
Source: RNAcentral
GAUGAUGCAAUCUACCCGCGGCUAGACGGAAAGACCCCAUGAACCUUUACUGUAGCUUUGCAUUGAUCUGUGAACCGGCCUGUGUAGGAUAGGUGGGAGGCUUUGAAGCGUGGUCGCUAGAUCACGUGGAGCCAUCCUUGAAAUACCACCCUGGUUUGUUUGCGGUUCUAACCUUGGUCCGUUAUCCGGAUCGGGGACAGUGCAUGGUGGGCAGUUUGACUGGGGCGGUCUCCU